Molecule: long non-coding RNA, 1914 nt
Organism: Peromyscus californicus insignis
Lineage: Eukaryota; Metazoa; Chordata; Mammalia; Rodentia; Cricetidae
Exons: 3
Source: RefSeq, a predicted model, not a curated record
GGAACAAUGGGAGUCACAACCACGGAGUCAGCCUACCUCCAGCUUCUAGAAAAUUUCUUUUGUAACGAACUUUAGUGUGACUAAAUUUAGUUAAACUGACAUGUUCACUCUGAUUUUUGCAUUUAAUCUCUUAUUCUGGUGUUCUCAAGAGCUCAGCUCUCCAAAUUUCCUCUCUCCUAGGAGACUAUUAACUGAAAAGAAAGGCAGCUAUAUCUCAGUGGUAGAGUGCUUGUCUUAUACACAUGAGGCCCCAGGUUUAACCCCCCAGCAAUGCUUAAAUCAAAGUCAAAAGGACAGCUUAACCUCCUCAAGAAGUCCCCUCCCACCAUGGAUCCAACCCUGAGGGAGCUGAUAGAGAGCUGACAGCUCUCCCAUACAGGAUAGUCACUUACACUUGUGUAGCUUUCCAGAAUUGUGUGUGUGUCCAAGGUUGAUGAGGCAUGCUCCCACACUCCUGCAGCACCAAGUGAGGUUGGAUACCAACGGGACUAGAAUCAGGACUGACUGAAGACUGAAGGAUCUAUUUGUGGGUAAAGAUCAGAGCCUGGGGAGAGCAGGAGAACAUGACUGGAGAAGGCAGGCAGGCAAAAGGCCAAGUUUCCCAAGUGGAAGAAACACAGGCAUGUGGGAGUUGAGUUGAUGAACAACAGCUCUUUUGUUUCUCUACAUUUUCACCUGAGAAAAUAACUUCAGCCUCCUUAGAAAAGAAGGUAGUUCCCCAAUUCUAGACUCUUCACAUUGGAAGGUCAUCUUCUGGUCACCUUGUUCAGCCUGUCACCCCUUCCCAGACUGCCUCAGCAGCUGGAUGCUUGGCUCCUUCUCAAACACCCCAAGGGACGGAUGCUUAUUACUUAGUGAAUCACCUCAUUACUUUCUGGACAAGGCUUGUUUUCAGACAAUUGUCCUUGACAGGAUGUUGUCAUUUGCUUCCCUACAGCUUUUGUUCAUUGAUGACAGUUUUAUCUGACAAUGUCUCAUGAGAAGAUAGUUUUGCUUUCUCAAAUAAGAGUCCUUUCCUGUUUCCAUGAAGGCUUGCCUUUUUGAAGAUCACACACCCUCAGCUCUUCUAGCACGACUGGUUCUCAUCCCUCAUUUGGUCAAGCAAACAUGAAACAUCCAGAUGCAGGACACAGUCUUCUGGAUGGAGGCUGAGCAGCAUGCAGAACAGCAGAGCACUUCCCUCAGUGGAGCUUGACAAGGAACCUGCAACUCCACAGCCCAAGACUGCAUCUGUCUCUUUAGUUCAAUGAGGAAACUUGCCAGCUGGAGAGAGAAGAUGACUUUAUAAACACAAUGCACUAUCGCACUAUCGGAAGAGCUGUACCACUUAAGCAUAAUUAACUCUGGAGAUACAGAUGAAGGAUCUUGGCCCAAAUUAGAAGUUAAGGAAAGGUUCUCAGAAAGAACUGUUGUGAACAGACCCAGAUUCCGUUCCCAUCGCUCGGUGGCUGGAACUUCUAUCCAAGGGGAUCCAUCAUCCUUUUCUGGCCUCCUCCAGCACCAAGCAUGCAUAUGGUGUGCAGACAGAUAUACAUGUAGGCAAAACACUCAUACACAUAAAAUAAUAAUUAAAAAAUCAUUUAGGCUGAAGAUUCAAGCCAGAAUAUUUGAAAUAGCCCUAAAUAUAUUUCUGUCAUGUUGAACUACAUAUUUGUGUGAAGCAGCAUUCUUAGCACUGACAAUUAUAAAAUCAAAAUAUCUAUCAACUCUAAAUAAUGUUGAAGAUGCUGUGCCUCAUGGCUUUAAAAUUCAACCAAGAUUUAAUUCUUUAUGUAAAAAUAAAUAGUGCAUGUCAUUAUCACACAAAUUUGUUUCGUCUUUAAUAAAUAGUAAUAUAUGCAUAGUAAGUAUCUAUACAUAUAUAUCAAAGAAUUAUUUUAUGAUAGAUUUCCUUUCCAAGAUAGAUUUCUUGUA